GAUGAAAAACGUAGCGAAAUGCGAUACUUGGUGUGAAUUGCAGAAUCCCGUGAACCAUCGAGUCUUUGAACGCAAGUUGCGCCCGAAGCCAUUAGGCCGAGGGCACGCCUGCCUGGGCGUCACACGUCGUUGCCCCCCCCAUCUACUCCUUCGGGAUUGCGGGGGGCGGAUGAUGGCCUCCCGUGCGCCUCGCCGCGCGGUUGGCAUAAAUGCCAAGUCCUCGGCGACGCACGCCACGACAAUCGGUGGUUGCGAAACCUCGGUUGCCCGUCGUGUGCGGUCGUCGCGCAUCGAGGGCUCGAAAAAAUUGCCGAGUUCCGGCUCGGCUUUCAACGCGACCCCAGGUCAGGCGGGGUUACCCGCUGAAUUUAAGCAUAUCAAUAAGCGGAGGA
This 392-nucleotide unclassified non-coding RNA is filed under the name soil metagenome. RNAcentral describes it as "partial contains 5.8S ribosomal RNA, internal transcribed spacer 2, and large subunit ribosomal RNA". The stretch from base 1 to 122 matches the Rfam family "5.8S ribosomal RNA", at positions 35 to 154 of the family's 154-position model. The record is from RNAcentral.